Molecule: unclassified non-coding RNA, 246 nt
Filed under: Hevea brasiliensis (rubber tree)
Lineage: Eukaryota; Viridiplantae; Streptophyta; Magnoliopsida; Malpighiales; Euphorbiaceae
Source: RNAcentral
GACGGAACACCUUCGCGUACAGGCUCACAGCCCCCAUCCCGACCUUCUCCGCCAGCACCAUCACAGACAUUACCAAGCACAAGACCACCACCGCCCGUAACACCGGAACAAUCACGUCCUCCCUUGCCACCCGCCAUAUCAGCGCCAACUGCUCCAAGAGACCAGUGGAGUUCAAGGAGAAGACAAGCUCAGUAACACGAGCGACCAACAAACCGGGACGGUGGGAUGGAUUGGCAUGCAUUGUCU